GACGAACGCUGGCGGCGUGCUUAACACAUGCAAGUCGAGCGGUAAGGCCCUUCGGGGUACACGAGCGGCGAACGGGUGAGUAACACGUGGGUGACCUGCCCUUAGCCCUGGGAUAAGCCUGGGAAACUGGGUCUAAUACCGGAUAUGACCUCAUGACGCAUGUUGUGGGGUGAAAGCCUUGUGCGGCUAGGGGAUGGGCCCGCGGCCUAUCAGCUUGUUGGUGGGGUGAUGGCCACCAAGGCGACGACGGGUAGCCGGCCUGAGAGGGCGACCGGCCACACUGGGACUGAGACACGGCCCA
RNAcentral lists this ribosomal RNA (301 nucleotides) under uncultured bacterium. RNAcentral describes it as "bacterial SSU rRNA". It matches the Rfam family "Bacterial small subunit ribosomal RNA", at positions 28 to 333 of the family's 1533-position model. The record is from RNAcentral.